This 406-nucleotide ribosomal RNA is filed under the name uncultured bacterium. Its description in RNAcentral is "partial 16S ribosomal RNA". It matches the Rfam family "Bacterial small subunit ribosomal RNA", at positions 29 to 526 of the family's 1533-position model. The record is from RNAcentral.
AUUGAACGCUGGCGGCAGGCUUAACACAUGCAAGUCGAGCGAGCGGCGGACGGGUGAGGAAUGUCUGGGAAACUGCCUGAUGGAGGGGGAUAACUACUGGAAACGGUAGCUAAUACCGCAUAACAGCAUAUGUGACGAGAGGGGAUUAGCUAGUGGGUGGGGUAAUGGCUCACAUAGGCGACGAUCCCUAGCUGGUCUGAGAGGAUGACGAGCCACACUGGAACUGAGACACGGUCCAGACUCCUACGGGAGGCAGGAGUGGGGAAUAUUGCACAAAGGGCGCAAGCCUGAUGCAGCCAUGCCGCGUGUGUGAAGAAGGCCUUCGGGUUGUAAAGCACUUUCAGCGAGGAGGCGUUACUCGCAGAAGAGACACCGGCUAACUCCGUGCCAGCAGCCGCGGUAAUUC